AGUGCUUCAGGAAAUGGGGCCUUUGGAAUGUGGGUUGUGGCAGAUGGUGGACUAGCUGAAGAAGGUUUUGGAUUUUCAUGUGAUACAUUCCUCUCCUCUUCUUCACCUUUCUUAUUGUUACCCUUCCCAACCUUAUUAUCUAUUACACGUCCACUGCUAAGGGUAGUCAAAGCAUUGGCUUGCUCAUGAUUUAGUCGAGUUUCUUGAGCCACGUAUUGUCCCCUUGGAUUACUCAUUGGUUGACUUGGAAGCUUGCCUUCCUCUCGCUUGUUUAAUGCA
RNAcentral lists this long non-coding RNA (279 nucleotides) under Phoenix dactylifera (date palm). RNAcentral's name for it is "long non-coding RNA (PDAC_LNC013125)". Lineage: Eukaryota; Viridiplantae; Streptophyta; Magnoliopsida; Arecales; Arecaceae. The record is from RNAcentral.